ACAGGGAUUCCCCUAGUAACGGCGAGUGAAGCGGGAACAGCUCAAAUUUGAAAUCUGGCCCUUGGGUCCGAGUUGUAAUUUGCAGAGGAUGCUUUUGGUGCGGUGCCUUCCGAGUUCCCUGGAACGGGACGCCUUAGAGGGUGAGAGCCCCGUACGGUUGGCCACCAAGCCUGUGUAAAGCUCCUUCGACGAGUCGAGUAGUUUGGGAAUGCUGCUCAAAAUGGGAGGUAUAUUUCUUCUAAAGCUAAAUACUGGCCAGAGACCGAUAGCGCACAAGUAGAGUGAUCGAAAGAUGAAAAGCACUUUGAAAAGAGGGUUAAAUAGCACGUGAAAUUGUUGAAAGGGAAGGAUUUAUGACCAGACUUUUUCUAGGGGGAUCAUCCGGUGUUCUCACCGGUGCACUUCCCCUAGUUGAGGCCAGCAUCGGUUUCUGUCGGGGGAUAAAAGCUUCGGGAAUGUGGCUCCCUCCGGGGAGUGUUAUAGCCCGUUGCAUAAUACCCUGACGGGGACCGAGGUUCGCGCAUUGCAAGGAUGCUGGCGUAAUGGUUAUUAAUCACCCGUCUUGAAACACGGACCAAGGAGUCGAACAUUUGUGCGAGUGUUUGGGUGUUAAACCCUCACGCGUAAUGAAAGUGAACGGAGGUGAGAGCCCUUCGGGGUGCAUCAUCGACCGAUCCUGAUGUCUUCGGAUGGAUUUGAGUAAGAGCAUAACUGUUCGGACCCGAAAGAUGGUGAACUAUGCGUGGAUAGGGUGAAGCCAGAGGAAACUCUGGUGGAGGCUCGCAGCGGUUCUGACGUGCAAAUCGAUCGUCAAAUCUGCGCAUGGGGGCGAAAGACUAAUCGAACC
This 847-nucleotide ribosomal RNA is filed under the name Apiospora rasikravindrae. Its description in RNAcentral is "eukaryotic LSU rRNA". It matches the Rfam family "Eukaryotic large subunit ribosomal RNA", at positions 68 to 941 of the family's 3401-position model. Lineage: Eukaryota; Fungi; Ascomycota; Sordariomycetes; Amphisphaeriales; Apiosporaceae. The record is from RNAcentral.